RNAcentral lists this ribosomal RNA (301 nucleotides) under uncultured bacterium. Its description in RNAcentral is "partial 16S ribosomal RNA". It matches the Rfam family "Bacterial small subunit ribosomal RNA", at positions 509 to 807 of the family's 1533-position model. The record is from RNAcentral.
CAGUAGCCACGGGAAUACAGAGGGUGCGAGCGUUAAUCGGAUUUACUGGGCGUAAAGCGUGCGUAGGCGGCUUUUUAAGUCGGAUGUGAAAUCCCUGAGCUUAACUUAGGAAUUGCAUUCGAUACUGGGAAGCUAGAGUAUGGGAGAGGAUGGUAGAAUUCCAGGUGUAGCGGUGAAAUGCGUAGAGAUCUGGAGGAAUACCGAUGGCGAAGGCAGCCAUCUGGCCUAAUACUGACGCUGAGGUACGAAAGCAUGGGGAGCAAACAGGAUUAGAUACCCGUGUAGUCCCUGUCUCUUAUAC